RNAcentral lists this long non-coding RNA (3412 nucleotides) under Pelobates cultripes (western spadefoot toad). Lineage: Eukaryota; Metazoa; Chordata; Amphibia; Anura; Pelobatidae. The record is from RNAcentral.
ACCCAUAUUUUGUCACUGUAAAAAAAUGAAUCCCAGACUACUAAAAAUCACCAUAGAAAAUAUUUAUUGUAGACACAGCAACACUGAGAGACCAUUGGGGAAAGUUAUUAAAGUAUUCUGUUUUAAAGGUUGGUGCAAAAAUGUGUAAAAGAAAUAAAAAUAAAAAGUCACAAGUGAAUUGUCCCACGGAUUUCUUUGUUCUACUGUUUAGAACAGAACAUUUUGAUAAACCUUUCCAAAUGUCUCUGCAAUUCACCAUACUGUGGUAAAUAAGCACAAACAGCUAUAACAUUUUUCAGGCUCUCUUGACAAUCACACACAUUUUGCUUUAAAACACCACUUUUGCAAUGCUAACGGGGUGAACGAUCUAGAGCAAGGACCAUUUUUGGAUUUGCAGCAUGGUGCUGCUCUUGUCCAGUAGUGGAAAUCCAUCUGUGAUAUGUAGGUUAUGUAAAAGAGAAUUUGAUUAAAUUAGCGAUGUGAUUGUAUAAAAAUCUCAGUAACAAUGCACCUUCAAGAUGCAAAAAACACACAUCUAGCACAAUAAAAGUAAAAUCCUGAUUUAUUGUUAUACUUGGGUGUCUCUUUAAGAACCUCCAUAUUUCACUAUUCAUCCAUGUGUAAUCACUUAGGUUUUUACAUAAUACUGCCUCAUGAUGCUCAAUUUUGCAAACUUUGACAGUCAUAUCAGACACCAAUACAUUCUUGCAUAACCAUGCUACCCUCACCAUUGACCUUUUAUGACAAAAUGAGAUAUUCUAUGAACUCUCACAAAUUAAAACCAGAUUGCAAAACUGAUACAAUAGUAGUCAAGUUGUAACACUGGCUCAGUUAGAGAAUUUUCCCAGAUCAGUUAAUUUUGCCACAGGAUUUAAUUAACAAAAAUAAAAAGUUUAGUGAAUAACCCUAUAAAUAUUAGUUUUUACAGCUUGUGUUCUGAGGGUCUGUCCUCAUCAAAUUGGAACCUGCCCAUUUUCAAACAAAUGUAUCUCAACUGAAUACUUUAGUGGAUAUUAACUGCCUAGUUAUUUGAAUGGUUGCAAUAUCCCUAAUUACACCAACUGGUUUGACUAAAUAUCAGAUUUUGGUCCAGAUUGACAAAAUCCAGCCACAAUGCCAGAAUGUGAUCAGAAUUUACUGCAAUCAACCAGAUGCAUUCACUACCUGAAUUAAAAAUCUUUUGCAUCUGUAUCCUAUGACAUUAGUGCCAUGCAUAGCACUUUGUACGGCAACCAAGGCUGCUAGAGCCAAAGAGGAUCUAGCCUAUGAAAAGUCCCAGUGUGACUUCAGAUGUCUGUUGCAAACCGAGUGGUGAUUGGUGGUGAGGGGCAACCUUCAAUUUACGCAUGGCAGCACUUAGAGGAAGUGAUGCCAGUACUUGUGAACGAUAGCUAUCACAACUUAUGCCCUUGACCUGUACCUGGCCAUCCCAGUACCCACUGGACCCCUGAAAGUCACCCACACUGCUAGAUUUACACAGAGCUGCAGAAAUAGCCUCCCCCCACACAACUAAUACAAACAGUUAACACACAAAUACAACACUACAAAGCAACUGCAGCACCCUCAAAUAGCAUACGCAGAAUAUGGCUACAUACACACCACAAUAUACAAAAAUAUACAUAUACAGAGGACUACAAAAUCUUGUUUUGGCACAGUACCAAUAAGAGGUUGCCUACCCCUGCCAUAUAGGGUAUAUAUAGUGUCACGGCAAGGAUGCAUAAUUUACUAUUACCCUAUGGAAUAUUAUCCUUUAAUGUAAUUUGUGUAGUAAAUGGCACAAAUUACAGAGAUGGUAUUGUUGAGGUCAAAAGGGGUUACAUCUUUUGAAGCUGGGACCCCCACUGAGGUCAGAUGACAGAAGGGGUAGUGUGAAUGGCAUAGCAAUGUGAAAAGGAUUGUACUAUAUGGAUGUGAAGUAAUCAAGGAUCUGCAAGGUGUGAGGUUCUACACUUGGAAAAAGUCUGAAUGUCUAUUCAUCCAUUUGGCAUGUACCUUGUAAAGUCUAGUUCAAUCAUUUGAUAUGGUAAUGGGAUUAGUUUCAUGAAAAUCCUUGUGUUCCAGUAUUUUAUCCAAGAGAAACAUUAAUACUUACCCACAGUUUAAUAAUUAAGCCUCAUUUUUAUUAUAUUUGGAAUGGGAUAAGCCCACUCCCUUAAUUAAGCCUAAACAUGAGUUGCACAACUUAAAACGUGUGGCAGGAAUUGUGCUGUCUGUCCUAUUGGAUCGUGGGUGGGGCGUGCAACCCAUCUAUGGAAUGGGAAAAUAAUAACAAAUUCAUAGAGGCAAUUAUUAUUUCUGUUGCAAGUACAGUAGAGGAUAUAAAACCAAAAGUUUAUAUUUGGCUUGUUGUUUUCUGGAACAAAGGAGGUAGUCACUUAGUAUCUCUAUGGGUAUGUUUUAUCGCCACCCCUGGGCAAGACUUGAUAAACCACAGGGUAUACAUCUAAUGAUCCUGAAGGGUGCUUGUGUACUUGCUUGGGGCCAAGAUCUAAUUUUGAGUGAGUCACCAUCUUUCCUUGCCAGAGACCCCCUGGACAGAAGUUGUACUUUGAAAACCUAAGUGAGUAAUUAGGACUUCUGUAUUUUAUCCUUUUUGUUUUUAUCUGUUGUUGGUGUAAAUAAUUUAUCAUAUAUUUUUAUAUGCACUGUGAACAUUUUUUGCUCAUAAUAAACAUUCAUUUAUUAAGUUCUGCCUUUGUCUGGUUAAGAAUCACGUUACCUGAAGAGACUAGUUAGUAUUUUUGUAAUUCCUUGAAUAUUGUACCAAGUAAUAUUUGGUGGGUUUUAUGGUUGAUUUACCUGGGGGACCAAGGCACCCCAUUUAUAAAUUGACUUGGUGGUGGCAGCAUUAAAUUAGUAAUAGUUAUAUUAUGUUUAAGUGUGGGUGGUGUUAAAGGGGGAUUUUGUCAUUAUUUCUGGUCUAGUGCAGACAAAUAGUGAACUUUAACCCUUUCACAACCACAACUACAUCACGCAUACUCUUGGAGUAGGGUGCGUUUGUGACAUAUAGUAUAGAAUUUGGAGGAUUCACAAAGCAGCGUUUUUUUUAACUGAACAGGGACCGAAUUCAUCCAGCAGGUUGCACCUGAGCAAAUUAUCGUUCACUUGCUUUCCUAUCUAAAAGUCACCCAGAUCUGUUCAGGGGUUCAGGAUUUCCAUGGAGGUUUUAUUUUGACCAACCGCACGCAUGGUCCCAUGCCCAAAACAGUUCCAGAGAAUCAGGGCUUGCAGUCGGUCUAGUUCAGUAGUUUACAAUAUAACAGAAAUACGAAUGCAACCAGUUUGUAUGUAUACUUAGUCUGUGUCUCUUGUUCGGGAGUAGUGAUGUCGCGAACUUCCCGCGAACUUGCCACGGUUCGUGGCGAACUCCGGUCAGCUGACACAUCCCUGCCAAUCUCCGGCAGACCCUCCC